CCUCCGUAGGUGAACCUGCGGAGGGAUCAUUACACAAUAAAAUAUGAAGGCUGUACGCGGCUGUGCUCUCGGGCCAGUUUUGCGGAGGCUGAAUUAUUUAUUACCCUUGUCUUUUGCGCACUUGUUGUUUCCUGGGCGGGUUCGCCCGCCACCAGGACCACAUCAUAAACCUUUUUUAUGCAGUUGCAAUCAGCGUCAGUAUAACAAAUGUAAAUCAUUUACAACUUUCAACAACGGAUCUUUUGGUUUUGGCAUCGAUGAAGAACGCAGCGAAAUGCGAUACGUAGUGUGAAUUGCAGAAUUCAGUGAAUCAUUGAAUCUUUGAACGCACAUUGCGCCCUUUGGUAUUCCAAAGGGCAUGCCUGUUCGAGCGUCAUUUGUACCUCCAAGCUUUGCUUGGUGUUGGGCGUCUUUUUUUUUUGUCUUGGGGCCUUUUGUGCCCUGAGACUCGCCUUAAAACGAUUGGCAGCCGGCCUACUGGUUUCGGAGCGCAGCACAUUUUUGCGCUUGCAAUCAGCAAAAGAGGCCAGCCAUCCAUCAAGACCAUUCUUCUCACUUUUGACCUCGGAUCAGGUAGGGAUACCCGCUGAACUUAAGCAUAUCAAUAAGCGGAGGAAAAGAAACCAACAGGGAUUGCCUCAGUAACG
Molecule: ribosomal RNA, 647 nt
Filed under: uncultured fungus
Lineage: Eukaryota; Fungi
Description: eukaryotic LSU rRNA
Rfam family: 5.8S ribosomal RNA (bases 223-376)
Source: RNAcentral